Molecule: long non-coding RNA, 1502 nt
Organism: Sycon ciliatum
Lineage: Eukaryota; Metazoa; Porifera; Calcarea; Leucosolenida; Sycettidae
Exons: 6
Source: RefSeq, a predicted model, not a curated record
UGUGUGCACACGUGUGCGUUGCUGUUCAGAGAGAAAGGCAUACUGCUUCUGAGGGUAUCAUGUCCACUCAGCAAGCAGAACGGCUUACUGACCGUGCCCCAUGUCUACCUAUCUCCAAGACUGAGAUUGAUGUGUAGCUGCUGCUUCACCGGUAACUUAUCCAAUCAUUUAUACUCACAGUUCAACGGGCAGUUCUUGCGAAUGUAACGCUACGGCAACUUUGUCCAUUGCUGUCAUCUGCCGUGAGACCACCAGGAUAUGAUAUGACAGUACUGCACUGGAGGCCGGAGAGUGCUAGUACUACAGGCCUCUACAUCACAGGCAACGUAUGCCACGGCAGUCCAGGGACUCCACCACUCAUGCAUCAUCCGUCGCCACCGGCUUCGUUGGCUGGGUCACGUCGGCAGGAUGGACGACUCGCGCGCACCGAAGCAAUUGCUGUUCGGCGAGCUGCCUGCCCCACCCCCCGUCCUCGUCACGGCCCGAAGAAGAGGUGGCGAGAUGUGGUGUCGACUGACCUAGCGGACCUCGGCGUGACCACCUGGCUUGAGAGUUGCCAAGAUCUUCCCGGCUGGAGACGAGUUGCGAGUAGCACUCCACCGCCACGGCCCGCUCCUGAUCCUCUUCUAUGUGUCUGUGGACGCCCGUUUCGUCGACCAGGAGACCUGAAACGACAUGCCAAGUUCUGCGCUCGUGUCCUCACUUGAACUUUCCGACAUUCGCUAUCAUUGCGUACGCAAUGGGCAAGAUCAAGGUCAAGGUCUGUGUGCACUUGUGCGUUGCUGUUCAGAGAGAAAGGCAUACUGCUUCUGAGGGUAUCAUGUCCACUCAGCAAGCAGAACGGCUUACUGACCGUGCCCCAUGUCUACCUAUCUCCAAGACUGAGAUUGACGUGUAGCUGCUGCUUCACCAGUAACUUAUCCAAUCAUUUAUACUCACAGUUCAACGGGCAGUUCUUGCGAAUGUAACGCUACGGCAACUUUGUCCAUUGCUGUCAUCAACCACCAGACCACCAGGAUAUGAUAUGACAGUACUGCAAUGGAGGCCGGAGGGUACUGCAGGCCUAUAAAUCACAGGCAAAACGUAUGUCACGGCAGUCCAGGGACUCCACCACUCAUGGUGACUUGCUUGUGCAGCGCAAGGCUCUCCUUUAAAAAAUGAUACAACAGUAUAUGAUGCGUGUGUACGUGUAUGUGUCCUGUUCAGAGAGCUUACCUGUGUUUUGUCGGUUUUGACUGACAAUGGAAUACUUCACUGCGAGAUGAAGAUCUGCUGAAGAACCCGGCCAUGCUGUGCGAACGCUUAAGUCACUCAAGGUCCGGUACAGCAGUGACACGCAAAUGGUGUGGAUCGCAGAGUUCAUGUCAUGUUCUCCAACCAAGUGGAUACGCUUGGCAUUGGUAGAGAUCGCCGCAGAGAGGUUUGACUGCCUUUUCGCUGGUAGAUGUAUUGCUGAUCAACAGUGGAGCAUCUCCCCGCAGGACUAAGAAGAACCACCCACU